Long non-coding RNA from Lepisosteus oculatus (spotted gar), 3477 nucleotides. Lineage: Eukaryota; Metazoa; Chordata; Actinopteri; Semionotiformes; Lepisosteidae. The record is from Ensembl.
AUGCUGAGAAGUAAAAGGAGCAACACCAUGUUUCAGGUCAGCUCGUCAUGUCGGACACAGGACAGUUCAGGUCUGCAAAGGAUGUGCAGUGAAGACGGGCUUAUUUUUCCCAAAAAGUCUUGGAAGAGAGAACAAAACCCUGUUUCACCGGUUGAAGAGUGGCUGCUUCAAGACCAAUACAGGUUGUCUGUGCUUCUUCUUUAAACCCAACUCAUCGUGGCAUCGGCAUCAGGAAAUCUCUUCUUUGCUUUCUGGGGAUGGCUUUUGGCGGCAGACUUCUAUCCCACAUUGCAAAUACCUUGGGACUCUGUUGUGUCGGAGAGGAGGCUCCCGCCACGCUGAAGACAUUACGCACAGACAUCCCACAAUCCCGUGAAGCUCCAGAGAUGUUUCUGCUUUCCUGGGAGACACGCUCCCACAUCUUUUGCAUGGAUCCGAUUGAUUCCAUCGGAUACUGAGGGACCAUGGACCGUACAUUCAGGAGCUCUGGGAAGGAUGGAAUUUUCAAUCCUGAUAUAGAGGUUUUUUUUUUUGUCUAGAAACUAAUGGAAUGAGGCAGAAGUUACUUUUAAGCCCAACUGGGCAUAGCGCUCCUGCUUUGUCAUCUCAUCAACCAUUUUUUUUUAUUCACAAAUCAACAACCGAGGCAAAUGGAGUUUACAGUGACAAGACUGGGGAUGUGUGAUGAAGGACUGCAACAGUGAUGGGAUUCUUCUUCAGUUCCCCAAACAUUUUAGACAAACUAAGAGUUAAGGUUAAGCUCAGAUAGUCACUCAACACACACAGGUAAGAAUUCCAGAAUGUCUUAAGGCUGUUAAUUGCACAUCAAAAUAACCAUUUCAAUUGCGCUUGUUAGUCUGCUAUUUGCUGUUUUCAAAUUAGAUGUGAAUAAAGUUUUAAGUGAUUCUUUAAACAAAAUGCAGAAAUGAAAAACACAUAUGUUGUGUAUCCCGAUGGUGACACAACAGUUGUUCUGUGAUUUCUCUAAGACUAUUUGUUUGGUCUUGCAUAACUUUCUGAAAAGGCUGUUUUAUUUGUCAAGAGCGCUUUGAGGUGUUACUGACAAUGAAAAGGAAGCACGUGAAAUAAAAAUAGAUUAGCUGUUGCUCAUUUUGCUGGGGCACUUCUGCACAUAUUUGGAGAAUAGUCCGCAUUUUUAAAUCCCACUCUGUGAAUGAGGAUUUGAUGUGAAUACACGCAUGUGACUACAAGCAAGAUGAGGUGCUUAUAACAGACCUAACUGACUUCAGCACAAAGGGGAAUGGUUUAGUAGUCACAGGAUAUGAUGAAGACCAGAACGAGAAAGGUUACCAAAACUUUAAAGAGCCAUGAUGCAUCUCAGAGUUCAGUCGGGGAACCUAUUUCCCUGUAAUAGUAAACACAUUAACAUUUAUUGUCACAAAUAUUUUCUCACAUCUUUCGACCCAACAGACUAUUAAAGAUACUUGAAAAAAGGCACAAAUGAACAAGUGAAAGCUAUGUUUUGCUCUCAGUACUCCAUUCCUUGAUAUUUUAGUUUCUCUUUUCAUUGUCUUUAUUCUUCCAGUUUUUAAACUGUCGAUUUUUUCCCUUCACUUUAGCUACAGUACGCACUUUUUUGUGAUUUCCUCCUGAAAGCCAGAGAUAAUGUGCCAGUGUUAGAAAUAUAAUGAAAGAUUAAAUAUUUCAAUAAUGAACAGUUACACGAGUUCAGAACAUGUCACAAAACACCUUAUUCCCUUUUGACAUUAGAAGAUUUGGGUUACACUUGCUGUGUUAAAUGCUAACAGGUAUUCAGGUAAAUGCCGUUAAUUUUAACUAAGGAAAUUACAAAAGAGUAGUUUUUGAAUGGAAUUAAAUGUUUAAUUUGUAAGCCAUUAGAGAAAUCAAUCUAUUAACUUUAAUCUGAGCUGUUUUUUGAAUAACUUUGAAGCUGUUUUGUUGCUUGUUAGGUUAGUUUCUUUAACUGCUUUAACACUAUAAACAGUAAAUAAGACUGUUUCUCAAACCUUUUCAAUCUGUUCACCUUAAGUCAUUAAGACAGGAAAUUGAUGGAACCAUAUCUUAAAGUUAUGUGUGCCUUAUUAUUUCUAUUUAAAUAAUUUGGUUUUAUUUGUGUAAUUCCUAUGAAAUUAGUAAAGAUUUGUACUUACUGAUGAUUGUUAUUUUCCUAAAUUAAAAUUCUUUGUUCUUUUACAUUCCUCUAUUUUUUUACAAAGUUCAAUGUAAUGUAAUAAAACAGGAUAAUUGAAUUGUGUAAUAAUAGUCACGUUUGGCUUGAACGCAAACAAGUCCUAUAUGUUUUAUGCAUAUGUUAUUCACCUGGAAAAAACAAAACUCUUGAAAUGUGUGGAUUGCAAUUAAAUCAAAAGAACAAUUUUGUUACUUUAAAUACGAAUUACAUGUGUCAAAAAAUUGUUAGGAAUUCCUUAUGAAAUCCUCAGACCACAAUCGUAUCCUUGGGGAUACAUUGUAGAUGCUGCGAAAGAAAGUUAAGCUAUGUAAUGGGCUUUAAAUAAUGAUUUUCAGGUGGGUUAUAAACAAUGAUUUGCUGUGAUUUACCAUUUUAUUCUCAUCAACCAAUAUAAAAUAGUGAUAAUCCAAGAUUUCUGUAUAGUCCCUUAAAUAUUUUAAUCCAUCUAUGAAUUCAUAAAAGUGUAAAAUGAUACAGUGAUUCAAACUUUCUGAAUUACUGGUUCAGUUUAGGAAUGAUUCAAAUACAAAUUGUAUCAUAAAUCCAAUCUAAAAAAAAAGCUGUACACCAAGGGAUUUUACAGAAAACCAUUAGCUCAUCCAGCACAUAAUACAUUUAUACAGCAGUGAAGUAUUUUAUUUCUGAUUAAAAUGUACUUCCCAAGUCACUUCAAUAAAACUUAUGGAAAGUCUAUUCAUCACAAAAUAUGACUUAAUUCAUUGUUUACAAGGAUAACGAUUUGUUGGUAAAACUAGUGUUUGAAAAUAAAAGUCUAAAUAAAUAUAUUGUAUACAAAAUGGCCUUUUCUAGUUGCUUUAUUUCACUUUGAAUAAAAAAAACUUAAUCUACACAUCUGGUCUACACAUCUGCUGCUCUGUCUUUACUGCUGUCAUACUUACAUAACAUUUGAAUGCUCAGUUUCACUUUGAAAUUAAGGACAUAGAUGUGGAUGUUUUCAGUAACACAGCAUAAAACCCACACAGACUGCAGCUGUUUGCCUAUACGUUUAGAAAAUGUGUGUCUGAAUAUAUGUUUUUAGAUUAAACAGAAAUGUAUUGAGAAAAAAACAUAACCAGACUGUGUUAUUAAAAUUGAUAUUAUGUGUAUUCAGGUUUUGUAAGGAAUAUUGUGUCCUUUCUGGACACUGUUUUUCUGUUGUAAAGUAACAGUCGUUCUGUUCAUUAAAUAAGAACUGAAUAUUGUGAGUUGUAUGAAUAUAAGUCAGAUAUCAAUGUUUUGCAAUACUUGCAUUUAAGCAUGGAAUAUGUAUGAAUUGUUACAUGAAUAAUGGCUAAAGAAUAAAC